Molecule: long non-coding RNA, 865 nt
Filed under: Lynx pardinus (Iberian lynx)
Lineage: Eukaryota; Metazoa; Chordata; Mammalia; Carnivora; Felidae
Source: RNAcentral
CUUCCUUUCCUGUAUUAAGCAAAUGAUGCUUCAGUGCUUCUAGUUCUCUCCACCACUGCAAAAUGUUCAGAGAAGUGGAAGGAGAGAAGGGAAGUUGUCAGACACCGAAAGAUACUUAAAAGCAGCCUCCAAAUUUAAAGUGAAGACUGAGGGGGGGGGGUGCCCUCUUCCUGAAGAGGGAAUGGGGGUCCGUACCCUAAAAAGGGACCCUCUGCGUGGGUGAGGGGUGCCUCCACUCUGAAAGAGAGUUCAGUAUGUGGAAAGGGGGAGGAAUGUUGUGCCCUGAAGCGAGGUCAGGGUUUCAGAAAGGGGUGCUUCAACCCUGAAGAUGGGUCUGUGGGGGGAGCCGUGAGUGUAUGGGAGGGGUGUACCAGUUACUGGGGGGGGCCUCUCUGAGAGAGGGGGUUUCCACUUUGGGGAAGGAGGGCCCAGCACUGAAGGGGACGCUGGGAGGAAGGGAGGGUCUUGCUGGGGAGGGCUGGGCAUGGGGGAGGGGAGGGAUUCUGAGUCCACCAGAGCCAGAAGAGGGGCGGCAGCCUCGAGGGGAACAUGUGCAGUGGAACUACUACCAUCCCCAGGGGCAGGGUGGAGAGCAGGGCCUGGGCUGUGUUUGGACAGAACAAGGCUCCCACCCUGCGCAGAAGCCGGAGGAGUCCCCAGCCGUACUCACCGAGGCUGCCGGCGAAACCGUCCAUCUUGCGGGGAAAGAGCCGGGCUCGGGGCUCAGCGGGGCGGGCACUUCAUUCAGCGGACCGACAGACUGGCCAACGCUGAGCCUGACCCGCUCACUCUCUAGGUCGCCCGGCUCGACUCCUAGCCCCCGCCUCCGUCGUCCGUCGGUCCGUCCGCCCCGGGACAGUCAGCC